Molecule: ribosomal RNA, 477 nt
Filed under: Francisella tularensis
Lineage: Bacteria; Pseudomonadati; Pseudomonadota; Gammaproteobacteria; Thiotrichales; Francisellaceae
Description: partial 23S ribosomal RNA
Rfam family: Bacterial large subunit ribosomal RNA
Source: RNAcentral
GUUCAGGGACAGUGCCUGGCGGGUAGUUUAACUGGGGCGGUUGCCUCCUAAAAUGUAACGGAGGCGCCCAAAGGUUCCCUCAACCUGGACGGCAAUCAGGUGUUGAGUGUAAGUGCACAAGGGAGCUUGACUGCGAGACGUACAUGUCGAGCAGGGACGAAAGUCGGGACUAGUGAUCCGGCACCUCUGAGUGGAAGGGGUGUCGCUCAACGGAUAAAAGGUACCCCGGGGAUAACAGGCUGAUCUUCCCCAAGAGUCCAUAUCGACGGGAUGGUUUGGCACCUCGAUGUCGGCUCGUCGCAUCCUGGGGCUGGAGCAGGUCCCAAGGGUUGGGCUGUUCGCCCAUUAAAGCGGCACGCGAGCUGGGUUUAGAACGUCGUGAGACAGUUCGGUCUCUAUCCGCCGCGCGCGUCAGAAACUUGAGGAAACCUGUCCCUAGUACGAGAGGACCGGGACGGACGAACCUCUGGUGUACCA